GAGUUUGAUCGUGGCUCAGAACGAACGCUGGCGGCAUGCCUAACACAUGCAAGUCGAACCGCCCCGCGAAGGGGAGUGGCAGACGGGUGAGUAACGCGUGGGAAUCUACCCAGAUCUUCGGAACAACUGAGGGAAACUUCAGCUAAUACCGGAUACGCCCGUACGGGGGAAAGAUUUAUCGGUUCUGGAUGAGCCCGCGUUGGAUUAGCUAGUUGGUGGGGUAAUGGCCUACCAAGGCGACGAUCCAUAGCUGGUCUGAGAGGAUGAUCAGCCACACUGGGACUGAGACACGGCCCAGACUCCUACGGGAGGCAGCAGUGGGGAAUAUUGAACAAUGGGCGAAAGCCUGAUCCAGCCAUGCCGCGUGAGUGAUGAAGGCCGUUAGGGUUGUAAAGCUCUUUCAGUGGGAAGAUAAUGACGGUACCCACAGAAGAACGCCCCGGCUAACUUCGUGCCAGCAGCCGCA
RNAcentral lists this ribosomal RNA (466 nucleotides) under uncultured Alphaproteobacteria bacterium. RNAcentral's name for it is "bacterial SSU rRNA". It matches the Rfam family "Bacterial small subunit ribosomal RNA", at positions 9 to 519 of the family's 1533-position model. The record is from RNAcentral. Lineage: Bacteria; Pseudomonadati; Pseudomonadota; Alphaproteobacteria.